UGGGGAAUCUUGGACAAUGGGCGCAAGCCUGAUCCAGCCAUGCCGCGUGAGUGAAGAAGGCCUUAGGGUUGUAAAGCUCUUUUACCAGGGACGAUAAUGACGGUACCUGGAGAAUAAGCCCCGGCAAACUUCGUGCCAGCAGCCGCGGUAAUACGAAGGGGGCUAGCGUUGUUCGGAAUUACUGGGCGUAAAGCGCACGUAGGCGGGUCGUUAAGUCAGGGGUGAAAUCCCGGAGCUCAACUCCGGAACUGCCUUUGAUACUGGCGACCUAGAGGCCGGAAGAGGUUAGUGGAAUUCCCAGUGUAGAGGUGAAAUUCGUAGAUAUUGGGAAGAACACCAGUGGCGAAGGCGGCUAACUGGUCCGGAUCUGACGCUGAGGUGCGAAAGCGUGGGGAGCAAACAGGAUUAGAUACCCCCGUAGUCC
This 424-nucleotide ribosomal RNA is filed under the name uncultured bacterium. Its description in RNAcentral is "bacterial SSU rRNA". It matches the Rfam family "Bacterial small subunit ribosomal RNA", at positions 355 to 796 of the family's 1533-position model. The record is from RNAcentral.